AACGCGAAGAACCUUACCAGGUCUUGACAUCCUCUGACACUCCUAGAGAUAGGACGUUCCCCUUCGGGGGACAGAGUGACAGGUGGUGCAUGGUUGUCGUCAGCUCGUGUCGUGAGAUGUUGGGUUAAGUCCCGCAACGAGCGCAACCCUUGAUCUUAGUUGCCAGCAUUCAGUUGGGCACUCUAAGGUGACUGCCGGUGACAAACCGGAGGAAGGUGGGGAUGACGUCAAAUCAUCAUGCCCCUUAUGACCUGGGCUACACACGUGCUACAAUGGAUGGUACAAAGGGCAGCGAAGCCGCGAGGUGGAGCCAAUCCCAUAAAACCAUUCUCAGUUCGGAUUGUAGGCUGCAACUCGCCUACAUGAAGCUGGAAUCGCUAGUAAUCGCGGAUCAGCAUGCCGCGGUGAAUACGUUCCCGGGCCUUGUACACACCGUAGUAC
Molecule: ribosomal RNA, 441 nt
Filed under: uncultured bacterium
Lineage: Bacteria
Description: bacterial SSU rRNA
Rfam family: Bacterial small subunit ribosomal RNA
Source: RNAcentral